GACGAACGCUGGCGGCGUGCUUAACACAUGCAAGUCGAACGGAAAGGCCUCUUUCGGGGGGUACUCGAGUGGCGAACGGGUGAGUAACACGUGAGUAACCUGCCCUUGACUUUGGGAUAACUUCAGGAAACUGGGGCUAAUACCGGAUAGGAGCUCCUGCCGCAUGGUGGGGGUUGGAAAGUUUCGGCGGUUGGGGAUGGACUCGCGGCUUAUCAGCUUGUUGGUGGGGUAGUGGCUUACCAAGGCUUUGACGGGUAGCCGGCCUGAGAGGGUGACCGGCCACAUUGGGACUGAGAUACGGCCCAGAAUCCUACGGGAGGCAGCAGUGGGGAAUAUUGCACAAUGGGUGGAAGCCUGAUGCAGCAACGCCGUGUGCGGGAUGACGGCCUUCGGGUUGUAAACCGCUUUCGCUCAUGACGAAGCUUUGUGUGACGGUAGUGGGUAAAGAAGCACCGGCUAACUACGUG
RNAcentral lists this ribosomal RNA (467 nucleotides) under uncultured bacterium. RNAcentral describes it as "partial 16S ribosomal RNA". It matches the Rfam family "Bacterial small subunit ribosomal RNA", at positions 28 to 507 of the family's 1533-position model. The record is from RNAcentral.